CCGUAGGUGAACCUGCGGAAGGAUCAUUAGCGAGAGGGAGCUUCGCGCUCCAGGGGCUUCGGUCCCGCACUCGUCACCCUGUGUCUACCUACCUUUGUUGCUUUGGCGGGCCUCGGGCUUCGUCCCGCGCCGGCCAGGGGCUUUACCGCCUCGGCUUGCGAGCGCCCGCCGGAGGCCCAUUCAAUUCUGUUUAUCAGUGACGUCCCGAGUGAAAACACGAUAGUUAAAAAACUUUCAACAACGGAUCUCUUGGUUCCGGCAUCGAUGAAGAACGCAGCGAAAUGCGAUAAGUAAUGUGAAUUGCAGAAUUCAGUGAAUCAUCGAAUCUUUGAACGCACAUUGCGCCCCUUGGUAUUCCGGGGGGCAUGCCUGUUCGAGCGUCAUUGCACCCCUCAAGCACAGCUUGGUAUUGAGCCUUCGCCCCUGCGGCGGGCCCGAAAAGCAUUGGCGGCUCGGCGUAGACUUCAAGCGUAGUAAACAUCUCCCGCUCUGGACGUCGCGCCGCGGCCUGCCAGACAGUCCCCACGAUUUCAAUGAUUGACCUCGGAUCAGGCAGGGAUACCCGCCGAACUUAAGCAUAUCAAUAAGGCGGAGGA
RNAcentral lists this ribosomal RNA (596 nucleotides) under Protoparmelia aff. montagnei C GS-2015. RNAcentral's name for it is "eukaryotic LSU rRNA". The stretch from base 230 to 383 matches the Rfam family "5.8S ribosomal RNA". Lineage: Eukaryota; Fungi; Ascomycota; Lecanoromycetes; Lecanorales; Parmeliaceae. The record is from RNAcentral.